This 3748-nucleotide ribosomal RNA is filed under the name Nitrospira sp. SB0673_bin_12. RNAcentral's name for it is "23S ribosomal RNA". It matches the Rfam family "Bacterial large subunit ribosomal RNA". Lineage: Bacteria; Pseudomonadati; Nitrospirota; Nitrospiria; Nitrospirales; Nitrospiraceae. The record is from RNAcentral. RNAcentral also lists the same sequence under 1 other name.
GUUAAGUUAUUAAGGGUGUACGGUGGAUGCCUUGGCAUCAGAAGGCGAUGAAGGGCGUAGCAAGCUGCGAUAAGCCUCGGGAAGCCGCAAGCAGGCCGUGAUCCGGGGAUGCCCGAAUGGGGAAACCCAGGCGAUGAAUGCCGCCUAUCCGUCACUGAAUCCAUAGGUGACGUGAAGCCAACGCGGGGAAGUGAAACAUCUCAGUACCCGCAGGAAGAGAAAGCAAUUGCGAUUCCCUGAGUAGUGGCGAGCGAAACGGGAAUAGCCUAAACCUCAUGUAUGUCAAGCCUGUGCGCGUUGUACAUGAGGGGUUGUAGGCCUGUAUUGGACACCGGUACAGCGGUGUCAACGAGUGACAAACCAGCCUGUUAGCAGAAUGGCCUGGAAAGGCCAACCACAGAGGGUGACAGUCCCGUAUGCGAAAACAGGUUGGCUCGUUGGAUGCAGGUCCUGAGUACCACGGGGCUCGAGAAACCUUGUGGGAAUCCGGGAGGACCACCUUCCAAGGCUAAAUACUCUCUGAUGACCGAUAGUGAACCAGUACCGUGAGGGAAAGGCGAAAAGAACCCCGGUGAGGGGAGUGAAAUAGAACCUGAAACCGUAUACCUACAAGCAGCGAAAGGGCUAUGCCCCGCAAGGGGAAUGCCUGAUCGCGUGCCUUUUGCUUAAUGAGCCGGCGAGUUAUUUUGCGUAGCAAGGUUAAGUUGACAAGACGGAGCCGUAGCGAAAGCGAGUCCGAAUAGGGCGCUCAGUUGCGCAGAAUAGACCCGAAGCGAGGUGAUCUACCCAUGGCCAGGGUGAAUCCGUCGUAACAGAUGGAGGAGGCCCGAACCGUUGUUUGUUGCAAAAAGCUCGGAUGAGCUGUGGGUAGGAGUGAAAGGCUAAUCAAACCUCGUAAUAGCUGGUUCUCCCCGAAAUAGCUUUAGGGCUAGCCUUGGAGUCACCGUGGCGGAGGUAGAGCACUGGAUGGGCUAGGGGCGUUAUCGCGCUACCGAACUUAACCAAACUCCGAAUGCCGCUACUGGAUCUCCAGGAGUCAGACUACGGGCGCUAAGGUCCGUGGUCAAAAGGGAAACAGCCCAGACCGCCAGCUAAGGUCCCUAAUUGUAAGCUAAGUGGGAAAGGUUGUGGGUAUGCCCAGACAGCCAGGAGGUUGGCUUAGAAGCAGCCAUCCUUGAAAGAGUGCGUAAUAGCUCACUGGUCGAGUGCGCCUGCGCCGAAAAUGUAACGGGGCUUAAGUUUACAACCGAAGCUGCGGGCUUGUCCCGAAAGGGAUGAGCGGUAGGGGAGCAUUCUCUGUGAGGUGAAGGUCGACCGGCAAGGACGGCUGGAUCGCAGAGAAGAGAUUAUGCCGGCAUAAGUAGCGAUUAACGAUGUGAGAAUCAUCGUCCCCGUAAGCCUAAGGUUUCCUGGCCAAUGUUCGUCAGGUCAGGGUUAGUCGGUCCCUAAGGCGAGGCCGAAAGGCGUAGUCAAUGGGAAACAGGUCAACAUUCCUGUACCGCCAUGUUCGCGUUAUCAACGAAGGGGGGACGCAGAAGGGUAGGCACCGCCGGGUCCCUGGAAUACCCGGUCCAAGCGUGUAGGCGGGAUUCGUAGGCAAAUCCGCGAAUCCGUUAACGCCGAGGCGUGAUGGGGAGGCCGCAAGGCCACAAACGGGCUGAUCCCACACUGCCGAGAAAAGCCUCGUAGUGAGUGGGCAUGGUGACCGUACCGCAAACCGACACAGGUAGGCGAGUGGAAUACACUCAGGGGCGUGAGAGAACACUCCCUAAGGAACUCUGCAAACUAGCCCCGUAACUUCGGGAGAAGGGGUGCCUCGCGUACGUGAGAGGACUUGCUCCUUGAGCGGAACGAGGUCGCAGUGAAAUGGCUCUGGCGACUGUUUACCAAAAACACAGGACUCUGCUAACUCGUAAGAGGAUGUAUAGGGUCUGAUGCCUGCCCGGUGCUGGAAGGUUAACUGGAGAUGUCAGCCGCAAGGCGAAGCUUCGAAGGGAAGCCCCAGUAAACGGCGGCCGUAACUAUAGAGAAGGGCCACUGUAGUUCCGAAAACAAAUCCGGCUAUAUGCUGGGACACCCGGUGGAUGCUCCGGUACUCGCCACGAUCAUGGUGGCAGUGACAAACCAGGAGAUGCGGGCAAUCAGCAGGAAAGGCUUGGGUUAUGCUCAAAGUCAACGAGAUCCCUGCAAACAUCGGCUAUUAUCUGGCUGGGUUUGCGGAUGGAGAAGGAAGUUUCAAUGUCUCCUUCCGACCGCGGAGUGAUUACAAGACUCCGUGGAAAAUUUCGCUCUGCUUUAACAUUUCGCAACGUGAUCAAGUGAUAUUAGCACUCUAUAAGCGUCACUUGCAUUGCGGAACGAUGAGGCAGAGGCAAGAUGGCGUCUGGUACUACGAAGUCAAUAACCUUACGGCCAUUGCUGAAAAUGUGAUUCCGUUCUUUGAGCGCUUUGGGUUUUUGUCAGCGAAGAAAAAACGGGACUUUGCCAAGUUUCGGCAGUUGGCUGAACUGAUGAGCAAAGGUCGGCAUCUUCAUCGUGAUGGGAUUGAAGAGAUUCUUCGAAUCCGACGCGAUAUGAAUGACGGUGGAAAACGCCGGUAUUCAGAUGAUGAAAUCCUCAAGCGACUUGAGAAUCCUCAGAGACUGUACGCCGGACUCAACGCAUAGUUGAAGAAGAUACAGUCCGAUCUGUAUGGCGACAUCCAGAGCGCGACAGAAAUGAUCGCGUCCUCCUUGGUGAGAGCCGAGGAGAGUAACAACAUGAACGGUCCUAAGGUAGCGAAAUUCCUUGUCGGGUAAGUUCCGACCUGCAUGAAUGGCAUAACGAUUGGAGCGCUGUCUCGGGGAGUGACUCAGCGAACUUGUGGUUCCGGUGAAGACGCCGGGUGCCCGCAACUAGACGGAAAGACCCUGUGCACCUUUACUACAACUUGACAUUGGGUGUUGGGCGACUAUGUGUAGGAUAGGUGGGAGACGGUGAAGCGGGGGCGCUAGUUCCCGUGGAGUCAUCCUUGAAAUACCACCCUUAUUUUUCCGACAUUCUAACCUGGCUCUGUCAUCCAGGGCAGGGACAGUGUCUGGUGGGUAGUUUGACUGGGGCGGUCGCCUCCCAAAAAGUAACGGAGGCGCCCAAAGGUUCCCUCAGGCUGGUCGGCAAUCAGCCGUCGAGUGUAAAGACAAAAGGGAGCUUGACUGCGAGACGGACGCGUCGAGCAGGGACGAAAGUCGGGCUUAGUGAUCCGGUGGUCCUAGGUGGAAGGGCCAUCGCUCAACGGAUAAAAGGUACGCCGGGGAUAACAGGCUGAUCUCCCCCAAGAGUUCACAUCGACGGGGAGGUUUGGCACCUCGAUGUCGACUCAUCGCAUCCUGGGGCUGAAGCGGGUCCCAAGGGUCGGGCUGUUCGCCCGUUAAAGCGGUACGAGAGUUGGGUUCAGAACGUCGUGAGACAGUUCGGUCCCUAUCUGUUGUGGGCGUAGGAGAUUUGAGAGGGUCUGUCUCUAGUACGAGAGGAUUGAGAUGGACGGACCUCUAGUGUGCCGGUUGUCGCGCCAGCGGCAGCGCCGGGUAGCUAUGUCCGGUUCGGAUAACCGCUGAAAGCAUCUAAGCGGGAAGCCAGCCUCAAGACAAGAUCUCCCGGAGGGUAACCCUCCCUAAAGGCCACUCGUAGACGACGAGUUUGAUAGGCUGGAUGUGGAAGAGCUGUAAGGCUUGAAGCUAACCAGUACUAAUCGGCCGUGCGACUUAACAUC